GAUGAACGCUGGCGGUAUGCUUAACACAUGCAAGUCGAACGGUCUCUUAGGAGAUAGUGGCGGACGGGUGAGUAACGCGUGAGAAUCUGGCUCUAGGUCUGGGACAACCACUGGAAACGGUGGCUAAUACCGGGUGUGCCGAAAGGUGAAAGGUUAACUGCCUGGAGAUGAGCUCGCGUCUGAUUAGCUAGUUGGUAGGGUAAAGGCUUACCAAGGCGACGAUCAGUAGCUGGUCUGAGAGGACGAUCAGCCACACUGGGACUGAGACAC
This 270-nucleotide ribosomal RNA is filed under the name Rhizonema sp. 'cyanobiont of Dictyonema sp.'. RNAcentral describes it as "partial 16S ribosomal RNA". It matches the Rfam family "Bacterial small subunit ribosomal RNA", at positions 28 to 327 of the family's 1533-position model. The record is from RNAcentral. RNAcentral also lists the same sequence under 1 other name. Lineage: Bacteria; Bacillati; Cyanobacteriota; Cyanophyceae; Nostocales; Rhizonemataceae.